RNAcentral lists this ribosomal RNA (500 nucleotides) under uncultured bacterium. Its description in RNAcentral is "partial 16S ribosomal RNA". It matches the Rfam family "Bacterial small subunit ribosomal RNA", at positions 30 to 523 of the family's 1533-position model. The record is from RNAcentral.
AUUGAACGCUGGCGGAAUGCUUUACACAUGCAAGUCGAACGGCAGCACGGACUUCGGUCUGGUGGCGAGUGGCGAACGGGUGAGUAAUGUAUCGGAACGUGCCCAGUCGUGGGGGAUAACGUAGUGAAAAUUACGCUAAUACCGCAUACGAUCUAUGGAUGAAAGCGGGGGAUCGCACGACCUCGCGCGAUUGGAGCGGCCGAUAUCAGAUUAGGUAGUUGGUGGGGUAAAGGCACACCAAGCCAACGGUCUGUAGCUGGUCUGAGAGGACGACCAGCCACACUGGAACUGAGCACCGGUCCAGACUCCGACGGGAGGCAGCAGUGGGGAAUUUUGGACAAUGGGCGAAAGCCUGAUCCGGCCAUUCCGCGUGCAGGAUGAAGGCCCUCGGGUUGUAAACUGCUUUUGUACAGAACGAAAAGGUUUCUACUAAUACUAGGAGCUCAUGACGGUACUGUAAGAAUAAGCACCGGCUAACUACGUGCCAGCCGCCGCGGUAA